AACCUCCCUUUUCUCCGUUUUUUUUUCAAUUAGGAAAAAUAGUCACAACGUUGCUUUUGUAUAAGUGCUGCAGAAUGAUGAUUACAGUGCUUACUGCCCUCUCGGGUAUAGACCUCACCCUUGUGUAUUAUAUCUUUGUUGCUUUGGCACGCCGCCUUACGUUUGCGGUUUUGGCUGGCUCGUGCGUGUCAAAGGACCUUAAACUCUGAAUGUUAGUGUAACCUGAGUACUAUCUAAUAGUUAAUACUUUCAACAACGGAUCUCUUGUUUCUGGCUUCUAAGAAUAACGCAUCGAAAAGCUAUAAGAAAUGUGAAUUGCAUAAUUCAGUGAAUCAUAAAAUCUUUGAACGCACGUUGCGCCCGGUGGUAUUCCGCCGGGCAUGCCUGUUCGAGCGUCGUUUAAACCAAUCCAGCCUCGUGGUUGGAUCUUGGGCCUUUCGCCUCUGGGCGGGCCUCAAAAUCUUGGAGGAGCCAUCUGGAUCUAAGCGUACUAAUACUCCUCGCUAUAAACAUCUGGUGGUUUCUUGCCAACAACCCACAAUUUGGAAAGGCUGACCUCGUAUCACGUAUGGAUACCCGCUGAACUUAAACAUAUCAUUAAACGCAUGA
This 609-nucleotide ribosomal RNA is filed under the name uncultured Ascomycota. RNAcentral's name for it is "eukaryotic LSU rRNA". The stretch from base 245 to 398 matches the Rfam family "5.8S ribosomal RNA". Lineage: Eukaryota; Fungi; Ascomycota. The record is from RNAcentral.